This 253-nucleotide ribosomal RNA is filed under the name uncultured bacterium. RNAcentral's name for it is "partial 16S ribosomal RNA". It matches the Rfam family "Bacterial small subunit ribosomal RNA", at positions 524 to 776 of the family's 1533-position model. The record is from RNAcentral.
UACGUAGGGUGCAAGCGUUGUCCGGAAUUAUUGGGCGUAAAGAGCUCGUAGGCGGUUUGUUGCGUCGGCUGUGAAAUCCCGAGGCUCAGCCUCGGGUCUGCAGUCGAUACGAGCAAACUAGAGUGUUGCAGGGGAGACUGGAAUUCCUGGUGUAGCGGUGAAAUGCGCAGAUAUCAGGAGGAACACCGGUGGCGAAGGCGGCAUCCUGGACCAAUUCUGACGCUGAGGAGCGAAAGCCAGGGGAGCAAACGGG